UUAUAAUGAUGAUCAUAAUCUUUGGUCCGUGUUUAUGAGGUGGAUUCAAGACCCACCGUGUGAGUGACAAAGAAGAUUCAAAUCUAUUUACUGAUUUA
Molecule: small nucleolar RNA, 98 nt
Filed under: Hyphopichia burtonii NRRL Y-1933
Lineage: Eukaryota; Fungi; Ascomycota; Pichiomycetes; Serinales; Debaryomycetaceae
Description: Small nucleolar RNA SNORD18
Rfam family: Small nucleolar RNA SNORD18
About the family: U18 is a member of the C/D class of snoRNA which contain the C (UGAUGA) and D (CUGA) box motifs. It is encoded in introns of ribosomal protein L1 in Xenopus and human, and in introns of elongation factor 1 beta in yeast.
Source: Rfam by way of RNAcentral